GCACGGUGAUGGAUUUAUGGUGCCCCUUUCUGCGUGGGCCUUUCAGAGUGUACCGUGAGAGAGCAAAGUACAGCCUUGAACCAUUGCCCAGCCUUGCUGCUGUGGGCUGCAAGCACUGAAGGAGCUUGCACAGAU
Molecule: small nucleolar RNA, 135 nt
Organism: Fukomys damarensis (Damara mole-rat)
Lineage: Eukaryota; Metazoa; Chordata; Mammalia; Rodentia; Bathyergidae
Source: Ensembl